RNAcentral lists this transfer RNA (53 nucleotides) under Hediste diversicolor. RNAcentral's name for it is "tRNA-Gly". The record is from RNAcentral. Lineage: Eukaryota; Metazoa; Annelida; Polychaeta; Phyllodocida; Nereididae.
GCCGCGUUAGUACAUUAAGUACAUUUGUCUUCCAAAUAAAAAGUGGGGUGGCC